AAAAAAAACGGGUACCCGAAAUCCGAGUACAUGUAUCCGACCCAAAUAUCUAGGUAUUUAUCGGAUAGUGCUCGCUCCGUAUCCAACCUGAAUCCGAAGUUUCACUGUCCGGGUACUACAUGUAUCUGUCUCGGAUAUAAAAAUACCCGAAUCCAUAUAAAAAAACAGAUAUUUGAACUAUCCGUAUCUGUUACCUGACAGGCUCGACCCGUUUUCACCCCUACCUACAGUUUAGUUCUCAGCAGCAUCUGCCACAGAAAUACAAAUUCUCAGUUCCAAUCUGAGAAUGCAGGCAGGGGAUGCAACAUCUCUUCUUAGGUGCUAGCACUUGUGACACGGCGUUCAAAUCUUCAGCUUCUAUGGAAAGAGGCCCGUCUUCCCCUCCAGUUUCUGUAACACAAACUGAACUAUCAGCUUCAACUGAAGUGCCUGUUCCACUCUCCUAGCGACGUUUAAGCAGCCAGGAUAGCUCCAGUGGCUGGUCAUCUCUUAAAUGGAUAGCGAAAAUUGAACAUAUGAAAUCCCUGUAUUUCUCCAAGAAGAAAAUUACUACUAGUAUGGUAUGCAGGAUAGAUACUAGGAGAGGCAAUCAGACAAACCUUGAACCCGUCUCCU
Molecule: long non-coding RNA, 615 nt
Filed under: Zea mays
Lineage: Eukaryota; Viridiplantae; Streptophyta; Magnoliopsida; Poales; Poaceae
Description: long non-coding RNA (ZMAY_LNC001796)
Source: RNAcentral